Molecule: ribosomal RNA, 510 nt
Filed under: Triticum aestivum (bread wheat)
Lineage: Eukaryota; Viridiplantae; Streptophyta; Magnoliopsida; Poales; Poaceae
Description: partial small subunit ribosomal RNA
Source: RNAcentral
AUGCCUGGUGGACCUUGGACUUUCAUUGGUAACUCGGUUCUUCUUGCUGAAUACGGCAGCUUCUCCAAACCAUCAUCCAUUGACCUGGAUCCUUUCAAGAUUUGGAUCCAAAUCCAUGAUAUGCCUAAUGGGUUUAGUUCUAUGGUGAAACCCUUUGCAUCUAAAGUUGGGGAAUAUGUUUUUGUUGCGUCGGAGAAUUUUUUACAGAGCCAGAGUAAAGUUGGAUGUUCGCAAACCACUGAAGAAUGUGGUGUCUAUGGUAAAAGAAAACAAGCGUCAAAUUAUGUGGUGAAGUAUGAACGUUUACCUGACUGGUGCACCGUAUGUGGCAUGCUGGGGCACCUGUACACUAACUGUGGGGAUGGUGUUCAUUUGCCGUCGAAGCUCUAUUUCAAGGACCUAAGGGCUACUCGUUUCUUGUGGUUGGGAGGCCAUGGCCGUGGGGGCCAUGGACGAGGCACCAACGGAGGUGGAGGUAACAACAACCAACAUCAAGAUGAUUUUUUCUGA